This 383-nucleotide ribosomal RNA is filed under the name uncultured bacterium. RNAcentral describes it as "bacterial SSU rRNA". It matches the Rfam family "Bacterial small subunit ribosomal RNA", at positions 30 to 417 of the family's 1533-position model. The record is from RNAcentral.
AUUGAACGCUGGCGGCAUGCCUUACACAUGCAAGUCGAACGGCAGCGCGGGAGCAAUCCUGGCGGCGAGUGGCGAACGGGUGAGUAACAUAUCGGAACGUGCCCUGGAGUGGGGGAUAACUAGUCGAAAGAUUAGCUAAUACCGCAUACGAUCUACGGAUGAAAGUGGGGGAUCGCAAGACCUCAUGCUCGUGGAGCGGCCGAUAUCUGAUAGCUAGUUGGUAGGGUAAAAGCCUACCAAGGCGACGAUCAGUAGCUGGUCUGAGAGGACGACCAGCCACACUGGGACUGAGACACGGCCCAGACUCCUACGGAGGCAGCAGUGGGAAUUUUGGACAAUGGGGCAACCCUGAUCCAGCAAUGCCGCGUGAGUGAAGAAGGCCU